RNAcentral lists this long non-coding RNA (4275 nucleotides) under Homo sapiens (human). The record is from RNAcentral. Lineage: Eukaryota; Metazoa; Chordata; Mammalia; Primates; Hominidae.
GCCAUGGGGAACCUCAGGUCCCGUCAGUUCUCUGUUGUCUUGGCCAUUAUGGGUUUGAGUGGCCCAGAUUCCCCUUGGAGCCUGAGGCAGUCCCUUUUCCAAUGGCCCUCUUGCUUAUGGUAGGCACACUGAUUCUGGCUCAGGGGCCAGCAAGUUGGGGGCUAUCGUCUGGGCAGCCCAGACACCGAUCUUGCAACACUUCCCUGGGAUGAAUAACCUCGAGGCAGCAGGUGGCUUAAGGCAGCCACUAACAACUGGGCUUUUUGGCUUUUUAUUUUGGUUUUCUCUGCUUCCUCUGCUCUGUCCCUGUUGUUGUAAACCCAAUGGCCAUGUACAAGAGUUGACUCAUGGGAGUUUGAGGUCCCAUUUCUGCCUUUUGUAACUUCCUCAUAAUGCCAGGGGCAUAUUAAGUAAUUAAAUGCAUACCUAGGAGAGCUCACCCUUCCAGGGAGUUUGGGUCUACACUUAGCAUAUUUCCUGCUUGCCUCAACCAAACUGUCCUGAAAUAGAGUGAGAUUUUUGUCCUUCCUCGGAGUUACUUCUCUAACCUUGUUGUAAUUAACUAGCUUAACCACACACUUUUCCAUACCUACUGUUAAACAAGUUACCAUGUGAUUUCUGUGUUCAAGAUCUUGGGAACCCCUCUGGUAAUCCCACUGAGGGACCAGAUCUAGAGCUGCAUCUCCCCUCACAUGAUAAAUGGCAUGACCUUAGUUACCAGUUGCCACUCCAUUUGCAUAUUCAUGAGCAGUACCCAGAAUCCUUUGUUUCUCCUCUGCAGUACAGCAGGUAGACAAUAAUAUUUGCAAGUCAUGCCAUGUUAAGUCAAAGAACACGAUCAACUGAACAAAUUUCUCCGUAAACUUUCCUGGAUCCUCUGAAAACCAACCAAAUUUCUCCUUGCGUAAAGUCAAAUCAGACAAAGAAAAAGGCACAUGGCUGAGCACAGUGGCUCACACCUGUAAUCCUAGCACUUUGAAAGGCCAGGACGCGCAGAUCGCUUGAGUCUAGGGCUUCAACACCAGAGUCAGGCAUCCCAGAGUCAGGACAACAGGGGACCUCUCAAAAUUAGAAAAGAAGGGGUUAAAAACAAACACGGAAAGUGUCUUGCCUUACAUUGAACAGAAACAAUUGCCCAAAUAUCUAAAGGAAAGACCACAAAUGCAACAACAAAAUAAGUGUAAAAGUAAAAUGGCGGUCAUUAGCCACUAAAGAGAAAAAGGAAGGUCCAGGAGAAAGGGUGACAAGGACAUGCCAGGCCUGCUGCCAUUCGGGACACUCAGAUGAUGGGGGACAAUGAGCUACCAAGCCAGAGACUCAGUUCCCAUUUCCUGGCUCACCCAAAAAGGUCAAUAUUGAGGGGGAACAAAGGGAAGACUGACCUUUGUGUGUGGAAGUCAAAUGGUGCUAAUCUGUCUUUAUUUGGGGUUUGGGUGAAGGUUUCCCUCAGGUUCCCUUGUCUUGUGAGUUGCCAGGAAAGAUGAUGGCUCUGAAAAGAGUCCUUUAGGCGCAGCUCUACAGCGCAAACUGCCCUAGAGUUACAGCUUCAUAGUGUUACAGCUCCACAACUCCGAUCUGUACUGAGUCACUUUGUCCCAUUCAUCUUGUUCCCAUUGUUUGUCCCAUCUGGGUCACCAGGCUGAUACAGGCAAAUCCCGAAAUUGGGGCUCAGCUCAGGAGGAUCCUUGGCUUCACCCAGGAAGGAAUUCAAGAGUGAGCUGACAAUGAAAGAAAGCAAGUUUAUUUGAGCAACAGUGUACAGCCAAGUGACUGCUUCAUAGACAGAGCAGGGCCAUCCCAUAGACAGACUGGUCUGGAGUAGCACUUGUGGAUUGCUGGCUACCUAUAUUUAUACCCAUUCUUAAUUAUUUGCUAAAUAAGGGGUGGGUUAUUCACAAACUUUACGGAAAAAGGGAAGAGAGUUCCCAGAAUUAUAUAAGAUAACUUCCAGGUCAUUGCCAUGGCAUUUGUAAACUGUCAUGGUACUGAUAGAAGUGUCUUAUGCAAGUGCAUUAUAAUUGCUGGUCCUACCUGGCUUUGGGCAGUUUCUUUGCUACCUACCAUUUAGAUAGACAGGGUCCUGACCAGUGCUCAGAAAACAAGUCCUGCUGAUCGCCUACCUCAAAACAAACCAAAACAUUAAUUGUGAGAAUAUUCUAGAAAGACAAGUUGGUAAGAAAGAAGAUACUGUAAAGACUCAAACAGAAAUGUAACAUAACAUGUAAAGAAUGAAAUAAGAAAUAGCAAGGAAAUACAGCAAAGAUGCUAAAUUGGUGUAAGUUAAGAGUUAAAUGAACCCAGAGAACAAAUGAUAAAGUCCUUUAAAAAGCACUAUGAUGGAAAGAAUGGGGUGUUCCUGGUGGAAGGCCUGGCACAGGUAAUGUUUUGUUAGCUUUCCAGAAAGAUUAAAAGAUUAUGCCCAAAGGAUUCCCUUGAGAAGUGGCAGGUGUAAGAGGACUCUGGAAAUCAGUAAGUAAUCCAGCUUCAAAAAAAUAAUUUUUAAAAAGUAGUCUCUUCUUGAGGAGAAAUGGAGAUCCAAAACAGAUGUUUGAGCACAUCAGAGGCCCCUACUGUUCUGCAUCUGCAGAGGCAGAAUCUUAUGCAGUCUGGGCUCCUGUUGUCACCGAGGCCAUUAAGCCAUCUCUGAGCACCGCUGGGGGGCCACGCACAGCCUGAACCCUCUCCGGGAGUGUGCUGCCAAGCACUGGAGAGGAGAUUUAGUUUGGUUUUAUUCUUAUCAUGAUCAUGUUUUAUUAAUUUAUAUCUUUCAUUCCUCUAUAACAUGAGGUCCAUUUGUCAUCAGUGAAAUACCUCAAGCCAGAUAUAUACUGUUUUCACAUACCAUGUAAUAUUUGAUACGAUUAAGAAAAGCCGUGCUUGCUUUAGCAGCACAAACACUAAAAUUGGAACAGUGCAGAGAUUAGCACAUGGCUCCUGUACAAAGAUGACACACAAAUUCAUGAAGCAUAAAAAAGAAAGAAAAGAAAAGCAGUAAACUGGUGAGUUAACAGUUAACUGGAAAAGGUAUCGCUUUGAAGGCAAUUCAAUUUAUUACCCGUCUACAUAUCAACCUUACCACCUGAUUCUAAAUUUAAAUACUUGCUGUUUACCAACAGGAAAUUACAACUCCAUUUACAUGUGUCUCUGGGGAAACAGCAUGCAAAGAAUGGCCACAUCUUCUUUAUAUAUGCAAGGCAAAUAUCUGGAACAAAACAAAACAAUUCUGGAAUCCCACAUGACAUUAAUAUUUUAGGAGUAGAUCACAAGAUCCCCAAAGAAGAAAACAAAAAAAAAAAACUUCACAUUAUAGAAAAAGAAAUCACAUACACAUCAAUUUUGAGUAAGAUAGAGCAAUAUAUCUCAAACUACUUGUGCAAAACCAGUUGGUUUUUUGUUCAUUUUAAUUUGUUUCAACCAAUACUUUUGAGAAAUAAGAGUUUGUUUCUAGAAAAAAAUGAUAAUACAGUAAAUUAUAGAAUACAAAAUACAAGUCUCACUUUUUAAAUUAUUGAUUCAGCAUAAAUAAAAUCACUCUAAAAUUGCAGUAAAAGUUCCCAAACACUUAGGCUCAGUUCUCUAUUUAGUUGAUGGCAGACCAGAUCACCAACCCACACUUGUCCAAGGACCAUAUUUUGAAUACACUGAGAUAAAGCAUCUAAAAAUGGAGAUCUUAGCCCAGCACAGUGGCUCACCCUCCUAGUCUCAGCUACUCAGGAGGCUGAGGCAGGAGGAUCUCUUGACCCCAGGAGUAUAGGCUGCAGUGAGCUAUGAUAACACCACUGUACUCCAGCCUGGGCGUCAGAGCAAGACUCUGUCUCUUUUUGUUUUGUUUUGUUUUGAGACAGGGUCUCGCUCUGUCACUCAGGCUGGAGUUCAGUGGUGUGAUCUCGGCUCACUGCAACCUCCAUCUCCUGGGUUCAAGUGAUUCUCCUGCCUCAGCCUCCCAAGUACUGGGAUUACAGGUGCCUGCCACCACACCGGUCUAAUUUUUGUAUUUUUUUUGUAGAGACAGGGUUUCACCAUGUUGCCCAGGCUGAUCUCGAACUCCUGAGCUUAAGCUAUCCACCCGCCUCGGCCUGCCAAACUGCUGGAAUUACAGGCAUGAGCCACUGUGCCUGGCAGAUACCCUGUCUCUUAAAAAAAAUUAAAAAUGAAAAAGUCAUAAAAAUGGAGAUUUUCCAGGCCAGGCGCGGUGGCUCACGCCUGUAAUCCCAGCACACUCAGAGGCCGAGGUGGGCAGAUAACAAGGUCAGGAGAUCAAGACCAUCCUGGCUA